ACUCCUACGGGAGGCAGCAGUGGGGAAUAUUGCACAAUGGGCGCAAGCCUUGAUGCAGCCAUGCCGCGUGUAUGAAGAACGGCCUUCCGGGUUGUAAAGUACUUUCAGCAGUGAGGAAGGUGGGUAUGUUAAUAGCAUAUUCAUUUGACGUUAGCUGCAGAAGAAGCACCGGCUAACUCCGUGCCAGCAGCCGCGGUAAUACGGAGGGUGCGAGCGUUAAUCGGAAUUACUGGGCGUAAAGCGCAUGCAGGUGGUUUGUUAAGUCAGAUGUGAAAGCCCGGGGCUCAACCUCGGAAUUGCAUUUGAAACUGGCAAACUAGAGUACUGUAGAGGGGGGUAGAAUUUCAGGUGUAGCGGUGAAAUGCGUAGAGAUCUGAAGGAAUACCGGUGGCGAAGGCGGCCCCCUGGACAGAUACUGACACUCAGAUGCGAAAGCGUGGGGAGCAAACAGGAUUAGAUACCCUGGUAGCUACGAGU
Molecule: ribosomal RNA, 477 nt
Filed under: uncultured bacterium
Lineage: Bacteria
Description: bacterial SSU rRNA
Rfam family: Bacterial small subunit ribosomal RNA
Source: RNAcentral